Molecule: unclassified non-coding RNA, 377 nt
Filed under: uncultured Actinomycetes bacterium
Lineage: Bacteria; Bacillati; Actinomycetota; Actinomycetes
Description: uncultured actinobacterium contains 16S-23S intergenic spacer region
Source: RNAcentral
UCCGUUUUGUCACCGGCAGUCUGGCGUGAGUCCCCACCAUCACGUGCUGGCAACAUAGGACGAGGGUUGCGCUCGUUGCGGGACUUAACCCAACAUCUCACGACACGAGCUGACGACAACCAUGCACCACCUGUGCACGACCCUUACGGACCCCACAUCUCUGCGGGAUUUCCGUGCAUGUCAAGCCUAGGUAAGGUUCUUCGCGUUGCAUCGAAUUAAGCAACAUGCUCCGCCGCUUGUGCGGGCCCCCGUCAAUUCUUUUGAGUUUUAGCCUUGCGGCCGUACUCCCCAGGCGGGGCACUUAAUGCGUUAGCUUCGGCACGGAGAACGUGGAAUGUCCCCCACACCUAGUGCCCACCGUUUACGGCGUGGACUAC